UACGGAGAGUGCAAACGUUGUUCGGAUUUACUGGGCGUAAAGGGCGCGUAGGCGGCCAGCACAAGUCAGUUGUGAAAUCUCCGGGCUUAACUCGGAAAGGUCAACUGAUACUGUGCGGCUAGAGUGCAGAAGGGGCAACUGGAAUUCUCGGUGUAGCGGUGAAAUGCGUAGAUAUCGAGAGGAACACCUGCGGCGAAGGCGGGUUGCUGGGCUGAUACUGACGCUGAGGCACGAAGGUCAGGGGAGCAAACGGG
RNAcentral lists this ribosomal RNA (254 nucleotides) under uncultured prokaryote. RNAcentral describes it as "partial 16S ribosomal RNA". It matches the Rfam family "Bacterial small subunit ribosomal RNA", at positions 524 to 776 of the family's 1533-position model. The record is from RNAcentral.